ACAAACGCGAUGACGCAAAAUAGUACGUCUGAGUCUAUCGUUUCCAGAGAGCUGCCGGCUGGUGUGAGGCAGUAUCGAUUCCGGACCGAACUCAUUGCUGAGCGGAAAGGCUGAAUGAAGUAGGCCGAUACGGGAACUCCCGUUACAGAGCGUGGAUAUCGCCAUGGCCGUAUCCGAGAGUGCAUCCAUAAAGGAUGAAACAGAGUGGUACCGCGGAAGGAUUACAACGCCUUUCGUCUCUCUU
Molecule: non-coding RNA, 244 nt
Filed under: Megasphaera elsdenii
Lineage: Bacteria; Bacillati; Bacillota; Negativicutes; Veillonellales; Veillonellaceae
Description: T-box sequence
Rfam family: T-box leader
About the family: Uncharged tRNA acts as the effector for transcription antitermination of genes in the T-box leader family.
Source: RNAcentral